RNAcentral lists this ribosomal RNA (460 nucleotides) under uncultured bacterium. RNAcentral describes it as "partial 16S ribosomal RNA". It matches the Rfam family "Bacterial small subunit ribosomal RNA", at positions 338 to 795 of the family's 1533-position model. The record is from RNAcentral.
CCUACGGGAGUCAGCAGUGAGGAAUAUUGGUCAAUGGGCGCGAGCCUGAACCAGCCAAGUAGCGUGAAUGAUGACUGCCCUACGGGUUGUAAACUUCUUUUAUAAAGGAAUAAAGUGAGGCACGUGUGCCUUUUUGUAUGUACUUUAUGAAUAAGGAUCGGCUAACUCCGUGCCAGCAGCCGCGGUAAUACGGAGGAUCCGAGCGUUAUCCGGAUUUAUUGGGUUUAAAGGGAGCGUAGAUGGGUUGUUAAGUCAGUUGUGAAAGUUUGCGGCGCAACCGUAAAAUUGCAAUUGAUACUGGCAGCCUUGAGUACAGUUGAGGUAGGCGGAAUUCGUGGUGUAGCGGUGAAAUGCUUAGAUAUCACGAAGAACUCCGAUUGCGAAGGCAGCCUACUAAACUGCCACUGACAUUGAUGCUCGAAAGUGUGGGGAUCAAACAGGAUUAGAUACCCUUGUAGUC